GACGAACGCUGGCGGCGUGCUUAACACAUGCAAGUCGAACGGAAAGGCCCUGCUUUUGUGGGGUGCUCGAGUGGCGAACGGGUGAGUAACACGUGAGUAACCUGCCCUUGACUUUGGGAUAACUUCAGGAAACUGGGGCUAAUACCGGAUAGGAGCUCCUGCUGCAUGGUGGGGGUUGGAAAGUUUCGGCGGUUGGGGAUGGACUCGCGGCUUAUCAGCUUGUUGGUGGGGUAGUGGCUUACCAAGGCUUUGACGGGUAGCCGGCCUGAGAGGGUGACCGGCCACAUUGGGACUGAGAUAAGGCACAGACUACUACGGUAGGCAGCAGUGGGGAGUAGUGCACAGGGGGCGGAAGCAUGAUGCAGCAACGCCGCGUGCGGGAUGACGGCAUUCGGGUUGUAAACCGCUUUCGCCUUAGACGAAGCGUGAGUGACGGUAAUGGGUAAAGAAGCACCGGCUAACUACGUG
Molecule: ribosomal RNA, 468 nt
Filed under: uncultured bacterium
Lineage: Bacteria
Description: partial 16S ribosomal RNA
Rfam family: Bacterial small subunit ribosomal RNA
Source: RNAcentral